CCUGUACCUAGAGGUGUUGCAGCUGUGGCUGCUGUACCACGUGUGCAUCUGUAGGUGGCAAGAAGCAGAUAGGCUGUGUCUAGGCUCAGUGUUCUGAUCUAUGAACAACAUUCCGUGAAAGAAGCAAG
Small nucleolar RNA from Rattus norvegicus (Norway rat), 128 nucleotides. Ensembl annotates it as small nucleolar RNA SNORA17. NCBI's taxonomy places the organism in Eukaryota, Metazoa, Chordata, Mammalia, Rodentia, Muridae. The record is from Ensembl.